RNAcentral lists this ribosomal RNA (468 nucleotides) under uncultured bacterium. RNAcentral's name for it is "partial 16S ribosomal RNA". It matches the Rfam family "Bacterial small subunit ribosomal RNA", at positions 28 to 507 of the family's 1533-position model. The record is from RNAcentral.
GACGAACGCUGGCGGCGUGCUUAACACAUGCAAGUCGAACGGAAAGGCCCUGCUUUUGUGGGGUGCUCGAGUGGCGAACGGGUGAGUAACACGUGAGUAACCUGCCCUUGACUUUGGGAUAACUUCAGGAAACUGGGGCUAAUACCGGAUAGGAGCUCCUGCUGCAUGGUGGGGGUUGGAAAGUUUCGGCGGUUGGGGAUGGACUCGCGGCUUAUCAGCUUGUUGGUGGGGUAGUGGCUUACCAAGGCUUUGACGGGUAGCCGGCCUGAGAGGGUGACCGGCCACAUUGGGACUGAGAUACGGCCCAGACUCCUACGGGGGGCAGCAGUGGGGAAUAUUGCACAAUGGGCGGAAGCCUGAUGCAGCAACGCCGCGUGCGGGAUGACGGCCUUCGGGUUGUAAACCGCUUUCGCCUGUGACGAAGCGUGAGUGACGGUAAUGGGUAAAGAAACACCGGCUAACUACGUG